UGUAGGAGAAUAUAACACAAUAGAUCUGGUAAAAGAUAAUACAAAGAAAAAACAACAGUUCUUUUGAACUUAUGAAAAAUGAUUGCCUUUUCUACAAUGCUAGCACAGGAGGUUGGUCGCACGUUAAUUGGGGAGAAGGUGCUCAUGGUAAUGGCUGGAGUGGAAUAAGAGGAAUGAUAUCAAAUACAUCAAACACAUGGUUUCCAUGUUUGAUGCCAUUCCAUUUGCUCCGUUCCAGCCAUUAUUAAGAGCCGCUCUCCCCUCAGCAGCCUCCACUGAAUACGAGUAACAGGUAUCAUAUGUUUUGCAGGUGGUUCUCCACUCCAUGCAUAAGUACCAGCCCCGCCUGCACAUUGUCCUGUCUCCAGACCCCACAGCCCUCUGUCAGGGGACUACCUGCGCUUCACCUUCCCUUCAUCGCUGUCACUGCCUACCAGAACUCAGAGGUUCAGAGAAAAGGAAGGACAGAGCUCUGACAAACUAAAUUAAGAUCCAGACCAGUGGAGUCAAAUGAUGAGGCUGAUGUUACCGUCUCCAGCUCUAGCUCAGUGGAUUCCCAUGGUGCAGUAGGAUACAGGACUGAUGACAUCACAUCUCUCUCUGCUGUCCCUGACCCCUUAAUCUCUGCCUUCAUGAACUGGGGAGAUGCAGCUGCAGCCCUGCCCUGUGGCCAAGAGUGAUGGAGGGUCCCGGACCAAAGGACCCACAACAACCACAAACACAACACACUUCGUACCUGGGCCUAUGACCGCCCUGGGCAGCAUAAGGAGGCCAGGAUAUUGGUUUACGAAAUGUUGCCUCUCCUCUCUUCCUCACACACCCUCCACUGGGCCAGACUCAGUUGGCUUCAGGAGGCCACUUGCACAAAGCAGCAGACCAGUGGGGCCUCACCCACCUCACCACAGAAGACCUGGUGCCACACCAGACCACUACCAGGUGCACCAGAAACAGCCCCAGCAGGCUGAGUACCCCCCCCCCCCCACGGGCCAGAGUACUCCAUAGCAUGAUGCUCUACCACCAGAACAGCUGGGCUCUGUGGGGCAACUAAGAGAUAGCCAUGUGGACAUUCAAGUCCCCUCCUCCUCUCUAGAAUACCCCUAUAAGGCACCUAUGCGUGACUUGGAUUUUGAUGAACAGAGUGAGAAAUAAAGCGAUCUCUUGCUCAGUAAA
Molecule: long non-coding RNA, 1170 nt
Organism: Oncorhynchus kisutch (coho salmon)
Lineage: Eukaryota; Metazoa; Chordata; Actinopteri; Salmoniformes; Salmonidae
Exons: 4
Source: RefSeq, a predicted model, not a curated record